UCGGUUGAGAGGGAGAAAGAGGUGGUCGUGGGUCGGUUGAGAGGGAGAAAGAGGUGGUCGUGGGUCGGUUGAGAGGGAGAAAGAGGUGGUCGGUUGAGAGGGAGAAAGAGGUGGUCGGUUGAGAGGGAGAAAGAGGUGGUCGGUUGAGAGGGAGAAAGAGGUGGUCGGUUGAGAGGGAGAAAGAGGUGGUCGGUUGAGAGGGAGAAAGAGGUGGUCGGUUGAGAGGGAGAAAGAGGUGGUCGGUUGAGAGGGAGAAAGAGGUGGUCGGUUGAGAGGGAGAAAGAGGUGGUCGGUUGAGAGGGAGAAAGAGGUGGUCGGUUGAGAGGGAGAAAGAGGUGGUCGGUUGAGAGGGAGAAAGAGGUGGUCGGUUGAGAGGGAGAAAGAGGUGGUCGGUUGAGAGGGAGAAAGAGGUGGUCGGUUGAGAGGGAGAAAGAGGUGGUCGGUUGAGAGGGAGAAAGAGGUGGUCGGUUGAGAGGGAGAAAGAGGUGGUCGGUUGAGAGGGAGAAAGAGGUGGUCGGUUGAGAGGGAGAAAGAGGUGGUCGGUUGAGAGGGAGAAAGAGGUGGUCGGUUGAGAGGGAGAAAGAGGUGGUCGGUUGAGAGGGAGAAAGAGGUGGUCGUGAGUCGGUUGAGAGAAAGAGGUCGAUGGUAGGUUAAAGGGAACCUACGAGAUAAUCUGCAAAUGCAUUUAUAAUGACAUGCCCUGUUUGGCACUGAUUUGUUAAGUUCUAUUUGUAUGGAAGCAUAUAGGCAUAGAGACUGUCAAUGCCACAAUGUUAUGUUACUAGAAAUAUUUGUUUUUGAAAUAAAAGACUGCUCGCUUUAUUGGUUUGUGUUCUUUCAGUUUAGUAUGCUGAGAAUCUAGAAUGUGGUUCCUCAGUCAGCCCCACACGGUAUGCAGGCAAUGAUUUCUCAAUACUAUUUCUAUUGCGCCUUUCUGACGCCCACAAUCACAAUAUUCACUGUUACGUAACAAAGUCCAUAUUUGGUAACUUAUGAACUUUCCUGUGACUCAAUUGGAGCAUGGGAACGCACUUGACUGAGAUCUGUGUCAAAGUUUACUUUCAGAAUUGAUCUCCAGUCUCAAUGCACCUGUCACAGUAAAAAACCCAACGUGAUUACCAAUGAAUAGUAGCUGGGAUAUUAAAAAUGUCACUACGAUUCUGCUCAUUAUUUUGCAUUGUAAAGCCAGACCCUCAGUGACCCUCCCAGAGACCGCCACGGUGAUGGAGGGGGAGGAAAGGACAUUGAUGUGUGACAUCACGGGAUUCUACCCAGAGAAUCUGGCCGUGACCUGGCUGAUCCAAAAUGGCUCCCGGGUGGCCCGUGGGAGCAUGGCUCGCGGGGCCAUCUCGCGUGAUGUGUGCACUGGAAUGGCUGUGCCUAAUCCAGACGGCACCUACAGUGUGAGCAGUCACAUCACUGUCCAGGCUUCAGCCGUAGGGAGCGGAGGAGCCAUGUACAUCUGUCACAUCGAACAUAGGUCCUACCCUGAUGGAAAAUACAGCAAAAGCAUCUUGUUGACCGUGCAAGAUCCAGGGUUUAAUGCUGUAACACUGAUGGUAGUUACUAGUCUUGUUAGUGUUCUUCUGGUCUUCUCUAUCAUCGGUGGUGCAAUGGUCUUCUACAGGUAUUUUUACACAGUUCCUCCCAGCAUCUCUGACAUCAUCAAACCCACCAUCGUUUAUGCCAUGAAGCCGACCAACUUAAAAUGCACCAUUAAAAGAGUACGACUGAGAGAGCUCAAAGUGAAAUGGUACAAGAUAACAGCCAAUAGGGACUGUAACGCAGCUUCCAAUAGCCAAUCAAAGGCACUGUUGAGCCGCAAUGACCUGAGUGACCAGGCUAACAUCCACUCUGAGAGCAUGCAUCACGUGUCCACCCUGUCCGUCUGUCUGUCAGUCAGUGAGGACCAGGCUAAGUACCUGUGUGUUGUGCUGUACAGAGGCAGGAAGAUCACCAGGGAGACCACUGUGAGUGUAAAAGUGACUCCAUCGUUCUUUCACAUCUCCAGCAUGCCUCAGAUCCCAGAGGUGAAGAGGUUGCUGGUGCUAUGCUGUCGGGUCGAGAAGUUUUACCCGGACGACCUCCAUCUCGAGUGGUCGAGAAAUGAUGGGGAGCAGGUGAGGACAGUCACUAACUAUGGACCGUUCUCUGACCACGAGCGGAUGCACAGCAUGUGGAGUAAGAUCGAACUGACAAUAGCUCAGGAAGACGAGAGUGUGGUCUACACAUGCCGCUUGUAUCACUCCAGUUUCCCCGGGCCAGGAUACAAAGACGUUCUCUAUCAUAUCAACACACAAGGUACUCCUCCAAGCGUGAUGUUCAUCAAGUGUGAGCCACUACUCCCUCUGCUGGAAGAGGAGUGCACGCUCAACCUCUGCAUCAAAGACUUCUGUCCUGAACAAGUGUCUGUCACAUGGUUUAAGGACGGACAGACGGUCCCCAACAGCCAGUUCUUCAACUCCCCACCCAGCCUCAACGUCAACGGCCUCUACUCUAUGUGGAGCUUCCUCAAACUGAGCCCAACCACAGAGGACUACGGCUCAGAGUUCAGGUGCCGGGUGGUCCACAGUGCCCAGAAGGAACCGGAGGAGAGGGUGUUCACACGUCAGAUCUCAUAGUCACCUAGUCAAGGGACGUCAGACCUUUGUUCAAAUACUUUGUUUGCACUUUUGGGACUUUUGUAUUGGCUCCAUUACAACAAAUAAAGGACGGCUCAAAUAGUUGAAAUGAUUUCAAGUAGUAUUUGAACCCAGGUCUGGGAUGUAUAUAAGGAUAUUACCGCUAAAGUAUAUAGUAUACCUAAGGUUAUUUUUGUAAAUUAAUUUGAUGCAUUUAUACUUGUUUUGUUAAUUCCGUUCACUUUAUCUUCUGAUAGACUGUAAAUAUUGAAUUGAAAAAGGUGCUUGCCCUGAACUGUCGUAGCAUACUAGAUAUGCUCAUGAAACGUGGGGCCUAAACUAGGAAAAGUGUCAGUACUACACCUUUUAUAUUGAGGUAAGUUAAUCUAACAAACACAGGUUCGUAAACCUUCAUACUUACAUCCUGCAUACGGUAUGAAAAUGGCAGAUUGGUCACUAUGAACACUUCAAUUGGGGCGGCAGGUAGCUUAGUGGUUAGAGCGUUGGGUCAGUAACCGAAAGGGUGUUAAUCGAGUCACCGAGCUGACAAGGUAGAAAUCUGUCCUUCUGCCCCUGAACAAGGCAGUUUAACCCACUGUUCCUAGGCCAUCAUUGUAAAUAAGAAUUUGUUCUUAACUGACUUGCCUAGUUAAAUAAAGGUUAAAUAUAUAUAUUUUUUAAUAGCAACAUACAAUAAGUCAGA
Non-coding RNA from Salvelinus fontinalis (brook trout), 3324 nucleotides. Lineage: Eukaryota; Metazoa; Chordata; Actinopteri; Salmoniformes; Salmonidae. The record is from the annotation of a RefSeq genome assembly.